GUGGAUCCUCCCCCCAAAAACAAGAUCAUAUUGAGCAGCAACUUCGAGGAAGAUAGCAUUGGGACAUGCUAUUACCUAUGUAUGGUGACGGGUGUCAUGCCAGAGUCUGUCCGGGUGGGCUCAAGCUAAAGCAGGAGAAGAGAGUUAGCUUUCUGCUGAGUGAGCCCGAACAGGAGCGGACGCACACUAGAUCAGAGCAAGUUUAGCUGGCCCAAUGGCGCAGACACCUACUAGGAUGAGGCAUAGCGAGAAUUGAAGCCCGAACAGAAGCGGAAGCACACUAGAUCAGAGCAAGUUUAGCUGGCCUAAUGGUGCAGACACCUACUAGGAUAAGGCAUAGCGAGAAUUGAACCCACAUCUCGUUGAGCUGCUCCAGCAAGCACCCCUUUCGGAAGCUCAAUUUGUAGGACCGGGGAGAACACUCGCAGGCGUGCAGGCGUUUUGAGAGAGCGCAAAACUCUAACUUGAGUAAGUGCCAGCCAGGCAAAAGGGUUAGCCUGAAGUGGUGGUUUAGCCAAAGGGGGAACGUGCAACGGUUGGAUUCAGCACGCUCUUAGAAUAGCUGUGGAAAUCCGAACGCCUAUCCCAACACGGAGAG
Molecule: long non-coding RNA, 598 nt
Filed under: Nicotiana benthamiana
Lineage: Eukaryota; Viridiplantae; Streptophyta; Magnoliopsida; Solanales; Solanaceae
Description: long non-coding RNA (NBEN_LNC008717)
Source: RNAcentral